AGGUAACACUUUGUAGUGAGGGUGUUGCUUGACGAAAAGAAGAUAGUUGUUGACGAUUGUGUAGUUUCGGUGCAGAAUACAGUUUCAGGAGUGAGGAGAAUGACCAGGUCCGUGACGGGUAGGCUGGCUAAUAAGCGAAAGCAGAACGAUAAAGAAACAGAACGAUAACGAAAGAAGGUAGAUGGAGAAACCGAUGAAGAAUGGGAACAAGAAGUCGAUGAAGGGCAAGUGAUGAAGAUGGUUAUCAAGAAGCGAAGCCCGCCGAAGGAUUACAACGCAUCAUCAGGUUUUCGUGGUGACGAUGGUGUGUUUUUUGGUUGGCUGCUAUGUGUUGUGAAGAUGGAUGUUGUUGUGAAGACCAUUUUUUAGAAGCAUUACAACUAUUGAUAUAAAAUUCAUUUUUAUUUUCAUUUUCAUUGUUAGUAUGCCCAUUUUUGGAUGAA
Molecule: long non-coding RNA, 443 nt
Organism: Helianthus annuus (common sunflower)
Lineage: Eukaryota; Viridiplantae; Streptophyta; Magnoliopsida; Asterales; Asteraceae
Exons: 3
Source: RefSeq, a predicted model, not a curated record